CUACGGGAGGCAGCAGUAGGGAAUAUUGGUCAAUGGACGCAAGUCUGGACCAGCCAUGCCGCGUGCAGGAAGACGGCCCUCUGGGUUGUAAACUGCUUUUAUAUAGGAAGAAACCCCUGAAUGCGUUCGGGGCUGACGGUACUAUAUGAAUAAGGAUCGGCUAACUUCGUGCCAGCAGCCGCGGUAAGACGAAGGAUCCAAGCGUUGUCCGGAUUUACUGGGUUUAAAGGGUGCGUAGGCGGAUAUUUAAGUCAGUGGUGAAAUCCCAUAGCUCAACUAUGGAACUGCCAUUGAAACUGGAUAUCUUGAAUACGGUUGAGGUAGAUGGAAUAUAACAUGUAGCGGUGAAAUGCUUAGAUAUGUUAUAGAACACCGAUUGCGAAGGCAGUCUACUAAGCCGUGAUUGACGCUGAGGCACGAAAGCGUGGGGAGCGAACAGGAUUAGAUACCCUGGUAGUCCACGCCCUAAACGUUGAUUACUCGCUGUUGGCGAUACACUGUCAGCGGCUAAGCGAAAGCGUUAAGUAAUCCACCUGGGAAGUACGACCGCAAGGUUGAAACUCAAAG
RNAcentral lists this ribosomal RNA (567 nucleotides) under uncultured bacterium. RNAcentral's name for it is "bacterial SSU rRNA". It matches the Rfam family "Bacterial small subunit ribosomal RNA", at positions 339 to 906 of the family's 1533-position model. The record is from RNAcentral.